GUGCCAGCAGCCGCGGUAAUACGGAGGAUCCGAGCGUUAUCCGGAUUUAUUGGGUUUAAAGGGUGCGUAGGCGGGCUGUUAAGUCAGCGGUGAAAGUUUGACGCUCAACGUUAAAAUUGCCGUUGAUACUGGUGGCCUUGAGUGCGGUUGAGGUAGGCGGAAUGUGGUGUGUAGCGGUGAAAUGCUUAGAUAUGCCACAGAACACCGAUUGCGAAGGCAGCUUACUAAAGCGCAACUGACGCUGAUGCACGAAAGCGUGGGGAUCAAACAGGAUUAGAAACCCUGGUAGUCC
Molecule: ribosomal RNA, 292 nt
Filed under: uncultured bacterium
Lineage: Bacteria
Description: partial 16S ribosomal RNA
Rfam family: Bacterial small subunit ribosomal RNA
Source: RNAcentral